Molecule: ribosomal RNA, 495 nt
Filed under: uncultured bacterium
Lineage: Bacteria
Description: partial 16S ribosomal RNA
Rfam family: Bacterial small subunit ribosomal RNA
Source: RNAcentral
GACGAACGCUGGCGGCGUGCCUAAUACAUGCAAGUAGAACGCUGAAGGAGAAGCUUGCUUCUCUGGAUGAGUUGCGAACGGGUGAGUAACGCGUAGGUAACCUGCCUGGUAGCGGGGGAUAACUAUUGGAAACGAUAGCUAAUACCGCAUAAGAGUAGAUGUCGCAUGACAUUUGCUUAAAGGGUGCAAUUGCAUCACUACCAGAUGGACCUGCGUUGUAUUAGCUAGUUGGUGAGGUAACGGCUCACCAAGGCAACGAUACAUAGCCGACCUGAGAGGGUGAUCGGCCACACUGGGACUGAGACACGGCCCAGACUCCUACGGGAGGCAGCAGUAGGGAAUCUUCGGCAAUGGACGGAAGUCUGACCGAGCAACGCCGCGUGAGUGAAGAAGGUUUUCGGAUCGUAAAGCUCUGUUGUAAGAGAAGAACGAGUGUGAGAGUGGAAAGUUCACACUGUGACGGUAUCUUACCAGAAAGGGACGGCUAACUACGUG